This 198-nucleotide ribosomal RNA is filed under the name uncultured bacterium. Its description in RNAcentral is "partial 16S ribosomal RNA". It matches the Rfam family "Bacterial small subunit ribosomal RNA", at positions 1304 to 1500 of the family's 1533-position model. The record is from RNAcentral.
GCUGAAACUCGCCUACAUGAAGCUGGAGUUACUAGUAAUCGCAGAUCAGAAUGCUGCGGUGAAUGCGUUCCCGGGUCUUGUACACACCGCCCGUCACACCACGGAAGUUGGGGCGCCCGAAGCCACUUAGCUAACCCAUUUGGGAAGCGAGUGUCGAAGGUGAAAUCAAUAACUGGGGUGAAGUCGUAACAAGGUACC